Long non-coding RNA from Triticum dicoccoides, 753 nucleotides. RefSeq lists it as uncharacterized. NCBI's taxonomy places the organism in Eukaryota, Viridiplantae, Streptophyta, Magnoliopsida, Poales, Poaceae. The transcript has 3 exons. The record is from RefSeq and is a predicted model, not a curated record.
UGCCCCGAUCCCAGCCCACUAGCCGCUCCUAGCCAAUUGCCCCACCCCCGCGCCUCCUCGUUGCUGUGCCGCCGGCGAUGUGCGGCGCUCCCGGCCACGCGCCGCUAGCCUCUUCCCGGCCACGCGCCCCGGCGACUCCUCCCUACUCCACUCCCCUUGAGUCGCGCCGCCCCCGACCACGUUGGGACUGGGACACGUCACCUCCCAGCUCCGUCCCAGUGACCAGUGCAACUCCUCCUUCAUGUGGCCUGUUGGUCGAGGGUCUGAUAAUGGACAUAACACAGCUACUGGAGAGGAGAUUAAAAUAUGGAAGAUAGCAACAGAGGGGGAAGCUGAGGCUGGUAGAUCCACUGAGCAAGAGUCCCAGACCCAGGUUUUUAGUAGAUGAAGGAGAAAGUCCGCGCCAAGAAGACCAUUCUGAUGGAUUCAAGAGAAUCAAGAGUGAAGCAUCAAGAUAUGAUAAAUAUGUCGAUGACAAAUAUGCCUACCGAGAUACUGAGUGGUUUCAGAUAUCUUUGGUUGAUUUGGAUUUGCUCACAUAGAAAAAGGAUGGCCACAUAUAUAUGGUAGUUACUUCCAUGUCACAAAGGUGUUCUUCAGUAGGUACUGAACAAUCACGUUGAACUUUCACAACAAUCACAUUCUCAGUGUUGUUGUCAUAUCAUAUAUCUCUAUAGUGUUUGAUCACAAUUUAGACAAUUGAUCUGAUGUUGCUCAUCUUUCAAUAUAAUAUCUUCUUUUUCCAGAUUUACA